Molecule: ribosomal RNA, 441 nt
Filed under: uncultured bacterium
Lineage: Bacteria
Description: partial 16S ribosomal RNA
Rfam family: Bacterial small subunit ribosomal RNA
Source: RNAcentral
CCUACGGGUGGCAGCAGUGGGGAAUAUUGCACAAUGGGGGAAACCCUGAUGCAGCGACGCCGCGUGAAGGAAGAAGUAUUUCGGUAUGUAAACUUCUAUCAGCAGGGGAGAAAAUGACGGUACCUGACUAAGAAGCCCCGGCUAACUGCGUGCCAGCAGCCGCGGUAAUACGGAGGGGGCAAGCGUUAUCCGGAUUUAUUGGGUUUAAAGGGUGCGUAGGCUGUGAGGUAAGUCAGCGGUGAAAUGCCCCCGCUCAACCGGGUGAAGUGCCAUUGAUACUGCCUUGUUGGAGUGCGGAUGCGGUAGGAGGAAUGUGUGGUGUAGCGGUGAAAUGCAUAGAUAUCACACAGAACACCGAUUGCGAAGGCAUCUCACGAAUCCGCGAUUGACGCUGAUGCACGAAAGCGUGGGUAUCAAACAGGAUUAGAUACCCGAGUAGUC